CUUGUGGCUGGGGGUGAAAGGCCAAUCAAACCGGGAGAUAGCUGGUUCUCCCCGAAAGCUAUUUAGGUAGCGCCUCGUGAAUUCAUCUUCGGGGGUAGAGCACUGUUUCGGCUAGGGGGUCAUCCCGACUUACCAACCCGAUGCAAACUACGAAUACCGAAGAAUGUUAUCACGGGAGACACACGGCGGGUGCUAACGUCCGUCGUGAAGAGGGAAACAACCCAGACCGCCAGCUAAGGUCCCAAAGUCACAGUUAAGUGGGAAACGAUGUGGGAAGGCACAGACAGCCAGGAUGUUGGCUUAGAAGCAGCCAUCAUUUAAAGAAAGCGUAAUAGCUCACUGGUCGAGUCGGCCUGCGCGGAAGAUGUAACGGGGCUAAACUGUGCACCGAAGCUGCGGCAGCGACACUAUGUGUUGUUGGGUAGGGGAGCGUUCUGUAAGCCUGCGAAGGUGGCCUGUGAGGGUUGCUGGAGGUAUCAGAAGUGCGAAUGCUGACAUAAGUAACGAUAAUGCGGGUGAAAAGCCCGCACGCCGGAAGACCAAGGGUUCCUGUCCAACGUUAAUCGGGGCAGGGUGAGUCGACCCCUAAGGCGAGGCCGAAAGGCGUAGUCGAUGGGAAACAGGUUAAUAUUCCUGUACUUGGUGUUACUGCGAAGGGGGGACGGAGAAGGCUAUGUUAGCCGGGCGACGGUUGUCCCGGUUUAAGCAUGUAGGCGGAGGUUC
RNAcentral lists this ribosomal RNA (723 nucleotides) under Klebsiella aerogenes. Its description in RNAcentral is "partial 23S ribosomal RNA". It matches the Rfam family "Bacterial large subunit ribosomal RNA", at positions 808 to 1533 of the family's 2925-position model. The record is from RNAcentral. Lineage: Bacteria; Pseudomonadati; Pseudomonadota; Gammaproteobacteria; Enterobacterales; Enterobacteriaceae.